UUAGUAACUCUCAAAUGGUGUAACCCAUUUGGUUAAUAAACACCAUGAAGUUACAACUUUUAAGCUCCUUGAUGGAAGGAGAGUUAUGGAAAUCUUCAUUUAAAAGGGUCCCUAGUCUAGCUUAUAUAUAUGGCCUGUCUCCAUCAAAAGGAAAUAUGUAAGGUGAAGGUCAUAGACUAAAAGACCCUUUUAUAUACACUAUUAUCAUAUAGUGAGUCUUCUUUUUCUCUCAACACUUAAACAACUAUGGCUGAAGGUAUGUCUAUGUUAUUUUGUUUCCGCUGCACUCUGAAUUUUGUCUUACAAACACUUCAUUUUCUUCUUUGACUUUCUCAAAGAAAUAAGACUCAAGAAACUCUUUUGCUCCCAUUUCCCACGGGUCCAUGCAAAUCAGAAAUUUGCACCUUACUUUAUCUUUUUCUCUUAAGGAAAGAGCUAGGAAGCUCUCUUGAUUCUUUCUCUCAAAACCCACAGUCAACACCUCAAAAGAAAGAUGAAGCUUCAUCUCAUUUCUUCUUCAUAUUCUCUUAAAGGAACCAAAAAACUCUCUCAAGCUCUCUACCAUUCUUUCAUGAGUGGUUCUAUGUCUAUUUUCCCCACAAGAACCAUAAACUUGGUGUUACCAGUAUCCAGGUCUAAGCUCCUUCGACUUUAGGCUCUCGGUUCCUCUGCUUUCAGUUAGCAGGUUUUAUUUUGGAGCAGAGGGAGCCUUAGUCGAGUUUGGAAGGAGUUGGUUUUUGUUUUAUAUGUACAGAUCCUAAGUUAGCAUUCUGACGUUUAGCUUUAUAGUUAUUGUGUAUUCUAGGAUCAAAUGAAAGUUGUGUACCUUAAAGUAUUAGGAGAUGUAUUAUGUAAAAGUAUGAAAUUAAAUGACUGGUGGAUUAUGUUA
Molecule: long non-coding RNA, 889 nt
Organism: Quercus robur (English oak)
Lineage: Eukaryota; Viridiplantae; Streptophyta; Magnoliopsida; Fagales; Fagaceae
Exons: 3
Source: RefSeq, a predicted model, not a curated record